This 245-nucleotide ribosomal RNA is filed under the name uncultured Dethiobacter sp. RNAcentral describes it as "partial 16S ribosomal RNA". It matches the Rfam family "Bacterial small subunit ribosomal RNA", at positions 524 to 768 of the family's 1533-position model. The record is from RNAcentral. Lineage: Bacteria; Bacillati; Bacillota; Dethiobacteria; Dethiobacterales; Dethiobacteraceae.
UACGUAGGGGGCGAGCGUUGUCCGGAAUUACUGGGCGUAAAGGGCGUGUAGGCGGCCGACCAAGUCCGGUGUGAAAUUUCAGGGCUCAACCCUGGACGUGCACUGGAAACUGGUUGGCUUGAGUGCAGGAGAGGAAAGUGGAAUUCCCAGUGUAGCGGUGAAAUGCGUAGAUAUUGGGAGGAACACCAGUGGCGAAGGCGACUUUCUGGCCUGUAACUGACGCUGAGGCACGAAAGCGUGGGGAU